AUUGAACGCUGGCGGCAGGUUUAACACAUGCAAGUCGAACGGUAACAUAAAGGAGCUUGCUUCUUUGAUGACGAGUGGCGGACGGGUGAGUAAUGCUUGGGAAUCUAGCUUAUGGAGGGGGAUAACUACGGGAAACUGUAGCUAAUACCGCGUAGUAUCGGGAGAUGAAAGUGUGGGACCUUCGGGCCACAUGCCAUAGGAUGAGCCCAAGUGGGAUUAGGUAGUUGGUGAGGUAAAGGCUCACCAAGCCGACGAUCUCUAGCUGGUCUGAGAGGAUGACCAGCCACACUGGGACUGAGACACGGCCCAGACUCCUACGGGAGGCAGCAGUGGGGAAUAUUGCGCAAUGGGGGCAACCCUGACGCAGCCAUGCCGUCGUGAAAUGAAGAAGGCCUUCGGGUUGUAAAGUUCUUUCGGUAGCGAGGAAGGCCAUUAGUUUUAUAGACUAGGUGAUUGCACGUUAACUACAGAAGAA
This 475-nucleotide ribosomal RNA is filed under the name Terrahaemophilus aromaticivorans. Its description in RNAcentral is "bacterial SSU rRNA". It matches the Rfam family "Bacterial small subunit ribosomal RNA", at positions 30 to 489 of the family's 1533-position model. Lineage: Bacteria; Pseudomonadati; Pseudomonadota; Gammaproteobacteria; Pasteurellales; Pasteurellaceae. The record is from RNAcentral.